Molecule: transfer RNA, 77 nt
Filed under: Deltaproteobacteria bacterium
Lineage: Bacteria; Pseudomonadati; Myxococcota; Myxococcia
Also listed under: 2 other names
Description: tRNA-Pro
Rfam family: tRNA
About the family: Transfer RNA (tRNA) molecules are approximately 80 nucleotides in length.
Source: RNAcentral
CGGGGCGUAGCGCAGACUGGUAGCGCACUUGGAUGGGGUCCAAGGGGUCGGAGGUUCAAAUCCUCUCGCCCCGACCA